AGGCCUAACACAUGCAAGUCGAGCGGAAACGAUGGUAGCUUGCUACCAGGCGUCGAGCGGCGGACGGGUGAGUAAUACUUAGGAAUCUACCUAGUAGUGGGGGAUAGCACGGGGAAACUCGUAUUAAUACCGCAUACGACCUACGGGAGAAAGGGGGCAGUUUACUGCUCUCGCUAUUAGAUGAGCCUAAGUCGGAUUAGCUAGAUGGUGGGGUAAAGGCCUACCAUGGCGACGAUUCUGUAGCUGGUCUGAGGAGGAUGAUCAGCCACACCCGGGACUGAGACACGGCCCGGACUCCUACGGGAGGCAGCAGUGGGGAAUAUUGGACAAUGGGGGAAACCCUGAUCCAGCCAUGCCGCGUGUGUGAAGAAGGCCUUUUGGUUGUAAAGCACUUUAAGCAGUGAAGAAGACUCUUCGGUUAAUACCCGGAGACGAUGACAUUAGCUGCAGAAUAAGCACCGGCUAACUCUGUGCCAGCAGCCGCGGUAAUACAGAGGGUGCAAGCGUUAAUCGGAAUUACUGGGCGUAAAGCGAGCGUAGGUGGCUUGAUAAGUCAGAUGUGAAAUCCCCGGGCUUAACCUGGGAACUGCAUCUGAAACUGUUAGGCUAGAGUAGGUGAGAGGGAAGUAGAAUUUCAGGUGUAGCGGUGAAAUGCGUAGAGAUCUGAAGGAAUACCGAUGGCGAAGGCAGCUUCCUGGCAUCAUACUGACACUGAGGCUCGAAAGCGUGGGUAGCAAACAGGAUUAGAUACCCUGGUAGUCCACGCCGUAAACGAUGUCUACUAGUCGUUGGGUCCCUUGAGGACUUAGUGACGCAGCUAACGCAAUAAGUAGACCGCCUGGGGAGUACGGCCGCAAGGUUAAAACUCAAAUGAAUUGACAGGGGCCCGCACAAGCGGUGGAGCAUGUGGUUUAAUUCGAUGCAACGCGAAGAACCUUACCUGGUCUUGACAUAUCUAGAAUCCUGCAGAGAUGCGGGAGUGCCUUCGGGAAUUAGAAUACAGGUGCUGCAUGGC
RNAcentral lists this ribosomal RNA (1015 nucleotides) under uncultured Psychrobacter sp. RNAcentral describes it as "bacterial SSU rRNA". It matches the Rfam family "Bacterial small subunit ribosomal RNA", at positions 44 to 1049 of the family's 1533-position model. The record is from RNAcentral. Lineage: Bacteria; Pseudomonadati; Pseudomonadota; Gammaproteobacteria; Moraxellales; Moraxellaceae.